RNA transcript from Mus musculus (house mouse), 2769 nucleotides. It is a transcript of the gene named histone deacetylase 11, with no coding region annotated. NCBI's taxonomy places the organism in Eukaryota, Metazoa, Chordata, Mammalia, Rodentia, Muridae. The transcript is spliced from 11 exons. The record is from RefSeq and is marked provisional.
GUGCUUCUCCUUGGCCGGCGCCGGUCCGGUCGUCUGUGACGCAGCUGCAGGCCAGAGCUCCACCUCCAGCUCCCAGCGCCAUGGAGGCGUGUGUUCUGCGUAGGCCCUGCCUCUUGCACCCCUCCCACCCCUCCCGGUGCGGAGUGGCGUCCAGAGCAGGCAGGGCCGGCUGCGGGAUGCCUCACGCAACACAGCUGUACCAGCAUGUACCAGAGAAACGCUGGCCCAUCGUGUACUCACCACGUUACAACAUCACCUUCAUGGGCCUGGAGAAGCUGCACCCCUUUGAUGCUGGGAAAUGGGGCAAGGUGAUCAACUUCCUGAAAGAAGAGAAGCUGCUGUCCGAUGGCAUGCUGGUGGAGGCUCGGGAGGCCUCGGAGGAGGACCUGCUGGUGGUGCACACGAGGCGCUAUCUCAACGAGCUGAAGUGGUCCUUUGUGGUGGCUACCAUCACUGAGAUCCCCCCGGUCAUCUUUCUUCCCAACUUCCUUGUGCAGAGGAAGGUGCUGAGGCCCCUGCGGACCCAGACUGGAGGCACCAUCAUGGCAGGGAAGCUGGCUGUGGAGCGAGGCUGGGCCAUCAAUGUUGGCCCCACGGGUACCUCUAUCUGCUGUGAGAUAUUUGUUGUGAGAAUGUCCCUGCCCAACAUUUACAUAUUUCCAAUGACAGGGAGUUCUCUUCCACCCAGAGAGCCUGUGCCGUCCCUCAGGUGGUGGCUUCCACCACUGCUCCAGUGACCGUGGUGGGGGCUUCUGUGCCUAUGCAGACAUCACACUGGCUAUCAAGUUCCUGUUUGAACGCGUGGAAGGCAUCUCCAGAGCCACCAUCAUUGAUCUCGAUGCCCACCAGGGCAAUGGGCAUGAGCGAGACUUCAUGGGUGACAAGCGAGUAUACAUCAUGGAUGUUUACAACCGCCACAUCUACCCUGGGGAUCGCUUUGCUAAAGAGGCCAUCAGGCGGAAGGUGGAAUUGGAGUGGGGCACAGAAGAUGAGGAAUAUCUGGAGAAGGUGGAGAGGAAUGUCAGGAGGUCCCUCCAGGAGCACCUGCCUGACGUGGUGGUGUACAACGCUGGCACGGACGUGCUGGAGGGAGACCGCCUCGGGGGGCUGUCCAUCAGCCCAGCGGGCAUUGUGAAGAGGGAUGAAGUGGUUUUCCGCGUGGUCCGAGCCCAUGAUAUACCCAUCCUCAUGGUGACCUCGGGUGGGUACCAGAAGCGCACAGCCCGUAUUAUCGCCGACUCCAUCCUCAACUUGCAUGACCUGGGGCUCAUUGGGCCUGAGUUUCCCUGCGUCUCGGCACAGAACUCGGGCAUCCCCCUGCUUUCCUGUGCUGUGCCUUGACGGCUACUCACAGAACAUUGUCAUACCUGCCCCCCCACCCCAUCCACCCGCCCACCCGCCUGUGUUUGUUGCUGUGAAGACAGCUGCCAGUGAGUGUGGAGGGGCAGGAAGAGCAGGAGCCAGCCUUGCUGGCCACUCCUCCACUCCCCACCAGGUGCCCAAGGGUCUCUGGGCCUUUGGGGUGGAAGAGCUGAGUCCCAGGGAGGAGCCCAUGUGGGAAGCAGGCAGGCCAUCAAGAGUCAGGGAGGACAGCUUAGCUCCAGCCACAGGGAGGGGCCUCUGGAGUAGAGUCGUUUGCUGUUCAUAUCAGCAGAAGAAGGGCCCUCCCCGACCUGGUUGGCUUACUUCCUCACUUUAGUCUGGAGAGGUCCCCUCCUGGACGUUGGUGCCUGUGGGUCUGAGGAGUUUCCAUAGCCAGCCUCCAGGGGGCACUGGGUUCUCAGCUAACAGGUAGUAGUCCUGGUAUGGAUUGGGAGGCCUAAGGAAGAAGGAAGCUGGGAUUCUCCAGUUUGGGUUCCCCUCAAUAAGUCAAGGUCCAGACAGACCUGUUUUUCCAAGCUCCCCCUAUGAUGAUGGGGUUGAACACUGAGGAUGCCCAAGGCCCCCAACUUAUCUCCUCUGUUCAGCAUGAAAACACGUUUGGGAUGAGUGUUUAGCUCAGGAGUGACCCUCCAAACUGGAGUUUUUAAGGGGCUGCUGACCAGGAUGGAGAGAAGGCAAGGCCCUGCAGAUAGAAAUGAGAUGGAGGCUGGUGGCCAAGCUAGUCCUAGGUGGGGCUUGCUAGAGGGAGGGCAGCGAAGGUAACAUCUAGGUACAGUGGCCCCACAGACCUUGAGUGAGCUACAAUCUCCAUUGGGCUCACCCAAAGUGCCCAAUUUUCAUCUUUGUCUGUGGCCCCAAGGUCUACCUGCCCUCUGGCCAUUUGACCCUGAAGGGACAGCCAGGGCCCUCCGUGACGUAGGCAGGAAAGCAGCCACCCCUAGCCAGAGAUUGGCAGCAUAACCAAGGGCACAGGGGUAAGAGGAUGUGGGCCAGCUGGGUUUCCUCCUGCCCUGGAUCUGCUCCAACUACAGGACUCAUAUUCAUUACCAUGUGGGGGUAUUCCCACAGCCUUCAUAGUGUCCUUCAUACUCCCUCUGCUGGAGUCGGGAGGAUGCCAGAGUCACCAGUUGUCUAAACCACUGACCUGGACCAGACCCCACAGUACUAAUAGUGCAGCACCACACCCCUCUGUCAUGGCCUCUUUGCCUCUGACUGGAGGUACCUCCCAGGACAUUGGGGAGUGGUGACAGCACAGUUUGUCAUUGUGGAGUUUGUCUGAGUGCCAUUCAGGCUCCAGGUUGUUGCUGUGUGUUCUGAGGUAGACAGACCUGCCUCCUGAGGACCACUGGAAAUAAAGAUUCAAAAUUCACCAAUCCAGACACUUAA